RNAcentral lists this ribosomal RNA (574 nucleotides) under uncultured Spartobacteria bacterium. Its description in RNAcentral is "bacterial SSU rRNA". It matches the Rfam family "Bacterial small subunit ribosomal RNA", at positions 102 to 663 of the family's 1533-position model. The record is from RNAcentral. Lineage: Bacteria; Pseudomonadati; Verrucomicrobiota; Spartobacteria.
ACGGGUGCUUAACACGUGGGCAACCUGCCAAGAAGUGGGGGAUAGCUCGCCGAAAGGCGAAUUAAUACCGCAUGUGAUCAGAGUGGACAUCCAUUCAAAAUCAAAGUCGGGGCUACCUGACGCUUCUUGAGGGGCCCGCGGCCUAUCAGCUAGUUGGUGGGGUAACGGCCCACCAAGGCUUAGACGGGUAGCUGGUCUGAGAGGACGACCAGCCACACUGGGACUGAGACACGGCCCAGACACCUACGGGUGGCAGCAGUCGAGAAUUUUUCUCAAUGGGGGAAACCCUGAAGGAGCGACGCCGCGUGGAGGAUGAAGGUCUUCGGAUUGUAAACUCCUGUCAUUGGGGAACAAUGCGCAAAUAUUAACUGUAUUUGCGUUGAUAGUACCCGAAGAGGAAGAGACGGCUAACUCUGUGCCAGCAGCCGCGGUAAUACAGAGGUCUCAAGCGUUGUUCGGAUUCAUUGGGCGUAAAGGGUGCGUAGGCGGCGCGGUAAGUCGGGUGUGAAAUCUCGGAGCUUAACUCCGAAACUGCAUUCGAUACUGCCGUGCUUGAGGACUGGAGAGGAGACUG